RNAcentral lists this transfer RNA (73 nucleotides) under Urbifossiella limnaea. Its description in RNAcentral is "Planctomycetes bacterium ETA_A1 tRNA-Asp". It matches the Rfam family "tRNA". From Rfam's summary of the family: Transfer RNA (tRNA) molecules are approximately 80 nucleotides in length. Their secondary structure includes four short double-helical elements and three loops (D, anti-codon, and T loops). Further hydrogen bonds mediate the characteristic L-shaped molecular structure. tRNAs have two regions of fundamental functional importance: the anti-codon, which is responsible for specific mRNA codon recognition, and the 3' end, to which the tRNAs corresponding amino acid is attached (by aminoacyl-tRNA synthetases). tRNAs cope with the degeneracy of the genetic code in two manners: having more than one tRNA (with a specific anti-codon) for a particular amino acid; and 'wobble' base-pairing, i.e. permitting non-standard base-pairing at the 3rd anti-codon position. The record is from RNAcentral. Lineage: Bacteria; Pseudomonadati; Planctomycetota; Planctomycetia; Gemmatales; Gemmataceae.
GGCUCGUUGGUCUAGUGGAAAUGAUUCCAGAGUGUCAACCUGGAGACCGGGGUUCAAUUCCCCGACGAGCCGC